This 115-nucleotide ribosomal RNA is filed under the name Pteropus alecto (black flying fox). Lineage: Eukaryota; Metazoa; Chordata; Mammalia; Chiroptera; Pteropodidae. The record is from RNAcentral.
GUCUACGGCCAUACCAUCCUGAACAAGCUUGAUGUCUGAUCUUGGAAACUAAGCAGGGUUGGCCUGGUUAGUACUUGGAUGGGAGACCACCUAGGAAGACCAGGUGCUGUAGGCA